AACGAACGCUGGCGGCAUGCCUAACACAUGCAAGUCGAACGAACCGUCCGGGGUUAGUGGCGCACGGGUUUGGAACGCGUGGGAAUAGGCCCUUUGCUUUGGAAUAACUAAGGGAAACUUGUGCUAAUACCGGAUGAUGUCUACGGACCAAAGAUUUAUUGUCAAGGGAUGAGCCAGCGUAGGAUUAGGUUGUUGGUAGGGUAAAGGACUACCAAGCCGAGGAUUCUUAGCUGGUAUGAGAGGAUGAUCAGCCACACUGGGAUUGAGAGACGGCCGGGACUCCUACGGGAGGCAGCAGUGGGGAAUAUUGGACAAUGGGCGCAAGGCUGAUCCAGCAAGGCCGCGUGAGUGAUGAAGGCACUCGGGACGUAAAGCUCUUGUACCAGGGAUGAUAAUGACAGUACCUGGAGAAUAAGCUCCGGCUAACUCCGUG
Molecule: ribosomal RNA, 433 nt
Filed under: uncultured bacterium
Lineage: Bacteria
Description: partial 16S ribosomal RNA
Rfam family: Bacterial small subunit ribosomal RNA
Source: RNAcentral